ACACGACUACAUUAGAUACCCCUGUAGUCCUAGCCGUAAACGAUACUCGCUAGGUGUCGGCCACGGUGCGACCGUUGUCGGUGCCGUAGGGAAGCCGUGAAGCGAGCCACCUGGGAAGUACGGUCGCAAGGCUGAAUCUUAAAGGAAUUGGCGGGGGAGCACCACAACGGGUGGAGCCUGCGGUUUAAUUGGACUCAACGCCGGGAAGCUCACCGGAUAAGACAGCGGAAUGAUUGCCGGGCUGAAGACCCUGCAUGACCAGCUG
Molecule: ribosomal RNA, 265 nt
Filed under: uncultured archaeon
Lineage: Archaea
Description: partial 16S ribosomal RNA
Rfam family: Archaeal small subunit ribosomal RNA
Source: RNAcentral